UUUAAAAAAAAUAACAACCCUUAAUUUGUUUUAAAAAACUUUGUGUGUUUUACUGUCACGAAAAACAAAAGUUCAAAAAUUAUAACAGAACUAAUUCUACAAAUGUUUUAUAAUGGCGUCGACUAUAGACUUGAAAUACAGGGACCCAAAUGACUUGAAUGAUGAAAUACGGGUAAGUUUUAAUUGAUAAAUGAACAAUAUUAUUUAACCUACAACUGAUUUCGAUACUUAUAUCUAUAAUUUGUCUUGUUUUCGUAUAAACGAAAAAAACACAACGCCCUAAGGAUAUGGGGUAUGCAUCAAUGACGCCAAAUCUUUACAUGUAAUUCAAAAACACAAAAAGCAAAGGAACAACGCUUUUAAUGCUAUUAUUCGUCUCAAAGUCAUAGUGAGGCCUACAACAAAGUGUGUAAAAACCAAAACUCCGCUUCACUGCAGGUUUAAGUCGGCCCCUAUCCCCCGUUUUGAGCGGAUUUCGUUGCAGAAUAAUUCGGAUAUAUAUAGAAUAAUAGGUAGUUUCUUUUUUGAUACUGACUAUAUCACGUGGAAUAUCUAGACAAGCCCGUUAGGGCGAGUUGUGAUAUUCCAUAUGAUAUAGUCAGUAUCAAAAACGAAACUACCUAUUAUUCUGUUUAUCGGUAAUUAUGACGUCACACAAUGUAUUGCCUAAUAUUUCCUGUGAUAUAGCCAGUACGGUGAUACUCGAAAAUAUUAGGCAGUAAAAUCAAAGGGAAAAUAUACGAAUUACCGAUAAACUUUUUAAAAAAAAACUACUUGAAAGUAUUACAUUAAGAAAAUAGUUCCUACGCAUAUGUGUGAAUUUUAAACUAUGUAGAAUAUAUUUUAUAAGAAGUUUAGGUAUCAGAUGAUAGACGAAGGACUGCUGAUACAUGUAGAACGCAAAUUGACUAACAAUUCUGAAUAACGUAUGAAUUAAUUCUAAAAUUUAACCUGGAUAGGAAUGGGGGCUAUGAAUAGUUGUUGUACGUCGUUAAAAAAAAAGAAUUAAGGGCACACACUGAUGUACGAUCAUAAGCGAAGUUAAAGAUGUUUAAUUGGAAAUCUCUAUUCAUGUAUCGUUCUUUUAGCGAGUGACUAUAUCGAACGAACAAAAAAAACUUAUAUUCCUUAGAAUGUUUUAAUUCUAUAUAUUAGAAAAUAUAUGCUUUGUAAAAGUUGUCAAACAAUGUGCUAUUACAUUUCAGAUGAUGUCAAAUAUCAACACCACACUGAAUCAAGUUUUCUAUCUGUCUCCACAGGGCUAAAUAGAUGCAUGCCAAUUAAUACAUGCUUUGCAUCACACUGUUCAUAUACACAAAGUUUUAAUUUAAUGCCAAUUAUAAUUACAUAACAGGGCCCAUUUACCAUUAUAGUAAUAUUUAGUGUGAUUCACUUUGAUACUUACAGAUACAUUUUAAUGAGGUGUUUGGGGAACCCAAUUCCAUGCACAGCUAUGACUAUCUAUGGAUGUACUCAAACCUAUGGUAUACAUGGAUGAAGGAUUGCUGCUACGCUACAAUAACCUUUUUCUGUGGUAUAUGUAUAGCUUUAUAUUGGGGAUGGAUUUUUGGUGAAAUUGCAUGUCAACAAAUAUGGUGCUUUACCCCAUUGCUAAGAAUGAUUUCAAUACACAUUGGAUUCUUACAAAAAUGCAUAGGAUUUACCUUUAACUGUUGUUGCGCUCCAUUUUUUUCAGCUUGUGGUUUAAUUUUCAGCUCUAUCUAUGUAACUGAAAGCAAUUAUUGAUUCACUUGCGCUAUUUGACAGAACUAACAUUAUAUAGAAAUAUUGUAUUGUAAUAAACAGAUAAAUCCUUG
RNAcentral lists this long non-coding RNA (1817 nucleotides) under Mytilus galloprovincialis (Mediterranean mussel). The record is from RNAcentral. Lineage: Eukaryota; Metazoa; Mollusca; Bivalvia; Mytilida; Mytilidae.